GUGCAUGCUUUGGCAACACAUAUACUAAAAUUGAAACAAUACAGAAAAGAUUAGUGUGGCACCUGUACAAGGAUGACAGAGAAGUUCAUGAAGCAUCCCGUCUUUGU
Molecule: small nuclear RNA, 107 nt
Organism: Dromiciops gliroides (monito del monte)
Lineage: Eukaryota; Metazoa; Chordata; Mammalia; Microbiotheria; Microbiotheriidae
Source: RefSeq, a predicted model, not a curated record